This is an RNA transcript of Carya illinoinensis, 3039 nucleotides long. It is a transcript of the gene named protein WHAT'S THIS FACTOR 9, mitochondrial, with no coding region annotated. The record is from RefSeq and is a predicted model, not a curated record. Lineage: Eukaryota; Viridiplantae; Streptophyta; Magnoliopsida; Fagales; Juglandaceae. The transcript is spliced from 2 exons.
GAGUAGAAGACCCAAGGAGUACAGCUGAGAUGGAGCAGUGGUAGUGCACAACAAAACCCUCCUAAAACCUCACCCUGCCCAAGCAACACGCCCAUUGUGCAGAGCACAGCUUACAAAAUCAAAAUAGGGGAGGCACUUCGAAUUUCGAAAGCAAAAGCGAACAAAGUCCAACCAAAUGCAGUUCAUCUUCCGCUCUCUCCCUGAGCGAUUCUCUCUGUCCCACUUCGACCGCCGCCGGACCUUCGUGGAUACCCCUUUCAAAUGGGCCCGAGACCGCGGUCUCGACCAUGUCGUGGAGAGAGAGAAGAACCUCAGGCCUUUGCUCAACCUCAAAAACUUCAUCAAAUCCGAGCCCUCCAAGUCCGUCCCUGUCUCCAUCAUCACGCAGAAUCGCGACUCCCUCCAGAUCCCCGUCCGCUCAAUUGACUUCAUCCGCAAAUACCCUUCCGUUUUCGAAGAAUUCCUCCCUGGCGGCAUCGGCAUCCACCCCCACAUCCGGCUUACUCCGGAAGUCCUCAACCUCGACGCCGAAGAGCAGUUGGUUUAUCAGAGCGAGACUUAUAAGAAACAGGCCGCCGACCGGGUUUUGAAGCUCUUGAUGAUAUCCAGGGCCAACAAAAUACCGCUGAGUAUUGUCGAGCGCUUGAAAUGGGAUCUGGGUCUUCCUCGAGAUUAUGAAAAAACUAUCUUCCCCGAGUUCCCGGACUAUUUUCAAAUCGUAGGUGACAGAGAUUCUUCAAAAGGGUCGGAGGAUAGGCGUGUUUUGGAGCUUGUUUGUUGGAGCAAUGAGCUUGCGACUUCGGCUAUGGAGAAAAUGGCAACGAAAGGGAAGUCGGAUUAUGAAAAGGGAAUGGCUAUAGCGUUCCCUUUGCAAUUUUCGAGAGGUUUUGAGAUGGAUAAGAAGUUGAAGAAGUGGGAGGAUGAGUGGCAGAAGUUGCCUUACAUUUCUCCAUACGAGAAUGCGUCUCACUUGCUGCCAAAGAGCGACGAAUCGGAUAAGUGGGCUGUUGCGGUUUUGCACGAGCUUCUUCAUAUUCUCGUUUCUAAGAAGACGGAGCAGGACAAUACACUGCACCUUGGAGAGUAUUUGGGGCUUCGGUCGAGGUUUAAAAGAGCACUGCAUCAUCACCCGGGUAUAUUCUAUUUGUCGAGUAAGAUUGGAACCUACACUGUGGUUUCGAAGGAGGGUUACAAGAGGGGCCUGCUAGUUGAAAAUCAUCCAUUGAUGAUUAUGAGGAAUCGGUAUAUUCACCUUAUGAACACGGUGAAGGAAGAUAGCAAACAGAUUAGCAUACCGGCUGGAAAUAGUAGAAAGAAAAAGCAGACAGGUCGUGAUGAGAAAGGGAAAGAGGAGGAAGAGAAUGAAGACAAAAGUGGAGAGGAGGAUGAACAGGAGCUGGAUGAUUCAUCGGAUGCUGAGGUUGAAGAUGCUAGUGAACAUGAAUAUGAUAAUGAUGAUCGCCAGGAAGAAGAUGAAAAUGAGAGUCGCAGAGGUUUUCAAAAACAUGUUGUGGAUAACAGAGGAAAGAAAGGCAGGAAAACAAUAUUGGGUGAGAAGGGACCAUGGAGAAAAUCUGAGAGCAAAAGGGCGGUUGGAAAACAACCUGGUAAGACAAGGGAAAAAGCUCCAUCGAAAGUUCAUAGAAGGGCAAAGAUGCAUGGUGGUAAUAAUGUCCGGGGCAGUUCACGAGAACGAUCAAUUUUACCUAAAAGCAGAGAGAGGUUAUUGCCAGACAAGAGGACUUUUACUCAGUAAAGAUUCAUAUUAUUUGCUGCAACAAUAUAUCAGCAGGUUUGCUGCAUGUUCAUGAUCUCCUUUGUUGCGAGUUUGCAAAUUUAAACUUACUUUCUCAGAAUGUUUUGCUUGUUAUUGAGUUAGAUUGUCAUAACUGUAGUAGGAAUGAUGGAAGUCUUGCAGUAAAAGGUGAAUUCUACACACCCAUUUGUGCUGAAAUGUUGUACUCAUUUUAUAUGCCUUCCUAUGUUAUGUCGAUCUUUUGAUUACUUAAAAAAAUGUCAUGGCUCUCGUAUUUGUGAGAUACAAACGAUUUUAAUGGGUUUGAGCUCUACAUCCUCCAAAGCAUUUCACUCUGUUCCUCACUUUCUCGAGAAACCUGCCUUCCAAGGCCAUGUGUUCUAGAAUCUAAAAGGGCUCUUUUCUCUCCUCAAAGCCAACGAAAUCCUUUACAAUAGCAGAAUGGUCAUAGACAAGUCCUAGGAAGUGCUUGUUGCACAGAGUUAAUAAAUUAGUCUUUCCACUCUACUGAAGCACAAGGUUGAUCAGUGCGAGAACAAGACAUAGACAGCAUGCCUUGAUUGUUAAUCUGGGUACUUCUUUCGGCCCAGAAGUAAUGGAUAAUCUACAAGAUUUACCUCUGGAAAUAUAUCAGAAAAGGACAUCAUGCGUAGAUGGAGAAAGUGUGAGCAAAUCAGAAGUCAACAAUGAGAAAAGCAAUGGAGGCUUCUAAAGUCUAUCAUGAUGGGAGGAGUUUACCAGCUUUCAAAGGUUUAUUGACACUAGAAAAGCUUUCUUGGAGUAAAGGGUGAUCAGAUAAGGCAGUUACUGGCACGGUCAUCUUAAAGAACGGGAGCUGGUUCGCAUAAGAGGAGUUUCAAUUUCAGUGACUUCAGCAAAGCAAGUAGAAGCUUACACUAUCUGAGAAUCCAUGUUUUUGGCAAAACAGAAUUCCUGAAGUACAGCAAGUAUGGGUGAUUACCAGGUGAGCUUUGGAGGAUGCAAGUGGAAGAAAUCAUGGUGACUGGUAAGUCAAUACAAUUGUGAAGGGCUUCUUUCAGGGUCGUGGCUAAAUGCUUAAUCUUGUUGCACACGAGGCAUCUAGAGCUGGUCUUAUAUUGCCCAGACACCUUCUUCUUCUUCUUUUUGUUUUCUUUUUUUAAUUGUUAAUGCCUCCUCCCUCUCCCCUUUUCUUCCUGAAGCCGCUUCUUUUCUGGGAAAGGUUGUAUUCUAUGUGAGGGAUGAAGGGAAGAUGAAGCUUCAGUGGCUGUUGAAAUUCAAUGAGGAUGCUUCCCCAUAGCAAA